RNAcentral lists this long non-coding RNA (3177 nucleotides) under Olea europaea subsp. europaea. Lineage: Eukaryota; Viridiplantae; Streptophyta; Magnoliopsida; Lamiales; Oleaceae. The record is from RNAcentral.
CACACUUUGAAGUAUCCAAUGUUUGGUUUUCUUCCUUUCCACAAUUCAUAAGGAGAAACUUUUGUAUAUUUAGAAUGAAUCAUAUUAAGUAUCCUACAUGCACUUAAUAAAACUUCACCCCAUAAAUUAAAUGGUAAUUUAGCAUAUAUAAGCAUGGCAUUAAUCAUUUAUACUAAAGUUCUAUUCUUUCUUUCAGUCAAACUAUUUUGUUCGGAUGUUUUAGGUGCAGAACAUUGGUGAAUUAUACCAUGUUGUUCAUAAUAUAAAUUAAAUUCACUAGAUAAGUAUUCGUCACCUUUAUCACUUCUUAGGGUCUUUAUUUUCUUUCCUAGAUGAUUUUCAACUUCAUUUUUAUACACCUUAAAUAUGUCAAAAGUUUCAUAUUUAUGUUUCAUCAAGUAUACAUAUGUAUAUCUAAAAAAAUCAUCAAUAAAAGUAAUGAAGUAUCUAUUUCCACCUCUAGUUAACAUGCCAUUUAAUUCACAUAUAUCUGUUUGAAUUAAUUUCAAGAUAUUAGAGGUCCUUUUCACACUUUGAUAUGGCUUUUUAGUCAUUUUUUAUUCUAUCCAUGUUUUGCAUUUAUGUUCAUUAUUGCCAUCAUAUGAAAUCAAAUCACAUUUAUUCAUACGUUUCGUAGUACGUUUACCAAUAUGUCCUAAUCUUGAAUGCCAUAAUGAAAAUAGAUCAACAAUAUAAGUGAAAUUAGUUUUAUUCAUUUUCUUGUCAACGGUACAAAGUUUGACCAUUCCUUCACUUGAAUAGCAUUUUACAACAAAUUUUCCAUUAAGGGAGAGUAUAAGCUUAUCGAAUUCAUACACACAUUCGAUACCCGAUUUUCCUAAGAGAUUAUCACUUACUAAGUUCUUAUUCAUAUCUGGAACAUAUAGUACAAAAGGGUAACGAUUUUUCCUAAAGCGAAGAUGAUAUCAACAUUUUCCUUUCCAAUAACCUUGGAUCGAACUUCGUUGCCCAUUUGAAUCUUUUAGUCUCCAUCCACCUCAUGAUAUGUUUUGAAUACAAUUUUGUCAUAUGAUACAUGUACAAUAGCACAACUAUCAUACCACCAUCCAGGAACAUUUCCCUUGAUUGCAUUUAUUUCGCUUACGGUGGCCACGAUUUUAUCUUCUUGGAUGGAGUUCACUUUGCCCUCGAAGCUGUUUUGUUUUCAGUGUCUACAAUUUUUUGCAUAAUGUCCAGAUUUUCCACACACAAAACACCCUCCUUUGAUUUUUUUCUUGGACUUGUUAAAGUUCCUCGAAGGCUUUCUCUUAUUGGAUUUUGUCGGCGGUUCAAAAUUUUCAAUAGCAUUAGCUUUGGAAGUUCCCUCAAAGGAGUUUUCACUUUUGUCACGCAAUCUGGAUUCUUCCUUGAUCCGAAAAUGCUUUUGCAAUUGUUCCAAGGAAUAACUUUCGGAACUAUGCAUGAUCUUCUUCCGGUAUCCUUUCAAAGCCCCUGGGAGUUUAGCAAUUAUGGCUCCCACUUGAAAGGUCUCUGGGAUUUCAAUCUUUAUCGCUUUUAGUUUGUUGACAAUGACUUGCAAUUUGUGUACUUGGGGAAGAAGAGAGAUAUUUUAAAGUCGAAGUAUUUAGAAAUUAGAAACUUCUUGGUAUCUUCCUCUUUCGCUUUGUACUUAUUUUUCAAUGCUUCCCAGAUUUCCUUUGCAGAAGUUGUGUUUAUGUAUAAGUCAUAUAAACGGUCCGACAAAGCAUUUAGUAUGUGACCACGGCAUAUCAAUUCAUCUUCUUGUCGUUUCUGUCUUUUAGCCUUGACUGCCUCAGUUUCUCCAUUUGUAGGUUUCGGUAGUGGAGCCAAUUCUGGAUCCAAAAUAUGGAAGAUCUUCAAUGUAGUAAGUAGAAAUUUCAACUUUUCUUGCACCUCGUGAAGUUUGUACCAUCCAACCGAUUUAACCGCACCAAGUCUUGAUUCAUUUGAUUGUUGCCAUUGUAGUCUUGUUCUCCAUUGCAAGAAAAUAACGUUUAAGAUUGUUGGAAAUAAUUGAGAGAUGGAGAAGAAAUAAAAGAGAAAAUACAAGAAAAUAUGGCAACAAGAUGGAUCAAAACAAAAUUUAUAUCUACAAAUGUGAAGGCUCGAACGCAGGAUCACUGUUCUCAAACAUUAUUUGCCCCUUCUCCGAUGUAUUUGAGAUGCUAAAAGGCAUUUCGACAAAUGGUUUGAAGGAUUUUAACAAGCCUUUUAAAGAAUUUCACCAAAGCACGAGAUGAAAUUCUCCAAAACUUGAAGAACACAAGGAUAUGAAUAUAAAUCGGGAUUUAAUUUUUCUUGGAACAAAGUAUGGAUUGUAAGAUGUUUUUCUUACUUCUUUCCCUCAAACAUCGCUUUCCAAUAAAUAACCAUCGACUAGAAGUACGAAAUGGUGCAAAAAAUUCAAGUGAAAAGUCACCAAGUUCAAAUUUGCUACGGCCAAAAAGGGUCAAAAAGUAUGUAUCAUACGACCACAUGGUCCAAACCCAUGCGGUCUCACGGUUCACCCAUGCCGAGACCAUUUGGUCUCGGCCUAAGGCCAAGCAACCUCAUGGCUAUAUGCCAUGCAGUCGCAUGGACCCCCCUCCCUUUUUUUUAUUGUCGGUUUUGAACAACAUAAUCACAGCAAAUCUACCAACUUUUUUUUUUCCCUUUAUUUUAGACUAACAUUAUGCUCAGCACUAGGUCGUCUGAGAUUUCUACUUAAAGAGCUGUAUUGAAUUCCCAUAUAAUUGACAUCAACUCUCAUUGAAGAGCAGCGGCAGUGCGCCUGCUACUGUUUUCUGGCUCUGCAUUUUGCUCGUUGCUCCAUCUUUCACUAAUGAUCUCACAAUUUUCUAGCAGUUGUAGUUCGUGCAAACGAACGAGGAACUAUGCUUUCUAUUGCUUGCAGAUCACAAAUCUACAAACACGGCACUUCCCUUGGCUCUUCACCCAUGGCACUAUGCAGUCCUCAUGAAACAUAUGAUUGCACGGAGUAAGCAUCACAAACUGUUUGGAGUCAAAAUCAUCCAAGCAAAUGGCACACCUUAUACCUUCAGCGUCCUGAAAAUUUCCAGAUUAGUUUGUGUCAUCGGUUAUAUUCUUCCUUUCCCAUUCGUCUGACUAUAUUACUCAGAUGUGGAUCAAAUAUCAUUACUUCUCUCAGCUUACUCAACCACUUUUCUUGCUCUUCCUUUGUAAAUCUUAACUCCG